Molecule: ribosomal RNA, 216 nt
Filed under: uncultured bacterium
Lineage: Bacteria
Description: partial 16S ribosomal RNA
Rfam family: Bacterial small subunit ribosomal RNA
Source: RNAcentral
UACGUAGGGUGCAAGCGUUGUCCGGAAUUAUUGGGCGUAAAGAGCUCGUAGGCGGUCUGUCGCGUCUGCUGUGAAAACUCAGGGCUUAACCCUGAGCUUGCAGUGGGUACGGGCAGACUAGAGUGCGGUAGGGGAGACUGGAAUUCCUGGGUGUAGCGGUGAAAUGCGCAGAUAUCAGGAGGAACACCGGUGGGCGAAGGCGGGUCUCUGGGCCGU